This 830-nucleotide long non-coding RNA is filed under the name Brassica napus (rape). RNAcentral's name for it is "long non-coding RNA (BNAP_LNC010891)". Lineage: Eukaryota; Viridiplantae; Streptophyta; Magnoliopsida; Brassicales; Brassicaceae. The record is from RNAcentral.
AACAUUUUUCAUUCAUGGAAAAAUUCAAAGACAGUUACAUGGUGAAGCAAUAUUGAAAGCCCAUGCAACCCGAAUACAAUUUAUCCCAAAUUGACCCAAACAUACAGAUCGAUUAAUCUUCCACGUAUCCCACCGCUUUCACGCUUGAUGACACACGUCCAUUUCAUUGCACACGAGAUUGGAGAUUGUGACACGACACCUUCUCGAUAAUCGACAGUGGCCGUCACCGUCGCCGGAAUUUUCAUGCUUCCCGGUAUCCUCUUCCGUUCCAACCGACGCCAUUGUUGGGUCAUCUUUCAUCUUCGGAUUAGAACCUUGAGGUUACUCUGAUUGAUUAACGACAUGAUUCUUUGUAGGACCGUUCAUAAGAACGCCAACUCUGCUGAGUCCUUGCUGAAUGAAUCGAACAUAACCCUUCAUCAUCUCCAUCCUUUCUGACAGGAAAGCUUUACCACAAGCCGAUUAACGACAAAAUCAGAGACAGGUAAAGACUUAUUUCCAAGGAAAGGAGUCAAAGCAUGUCCUAUGAUAAAGAUAAACCAAUUCAAGCAGAUCGGGAUGUAACAGAGUACACAAAAAGAUUUGAUCUGAUUUUGGGCUGGAAACACGGCAAAAUUCGCCUAUGCAAAGCUAGAUCCGCUAAACGGAAAACAUAAGUCGGUUUCUAAACCGAAGAUUUAUAUCUUACAUAAAAAAACAAAGACAUGUGAAAGAUAUGGUUGUGUGAACAGGGAGAAGAGAGAAAGAGAUCUCUCUCUAGUUGAUCGUACGCUUAUGUGUAUGAUCUACCAUUUUAACUUAUUUUCUAUUCAAACCCUUAAAUAGAGAAU